GAGCCACACCACUUAUUUUACCGAGAAAACGUCAUGAGAAGAAGGUAGCUGAGAGGUUAAAGAGAGGACUCUGAGUCGCCAUGAGGUAUCCACUGUCGGCUGUGGCCACGCGUCUAGUGCAGAGGGCACGAAGGGCAGGGCUUGGAGCUCUUAGGCCUCAAAAGGCCGCCGGGAGGCCAGUGCACCUCCUGCCUGGGCUGGGAGCUGCUGGCUGCUGUGCGGGGCACCGGCAAGGGCCGACGUCACAAAGAGGUCGCAGACGUCACAAAGAGGUCGCUUCCUUCACACCGACUUCACGGAGAGGUCGCUUCCUUCACACCGACUUCACAAAGAGUUCGCUUCCGCACGUGCAGGACUCAGCAGCAAGGGCGUGGGACGCGCAGGCGCCGGGAGCCCACAGGGUGGAGACCGGAGCGAGCCCGCCCUUCUCCAGCCGCGCGGCCUUUCAUUCGCGCCCCCUAUCGGCAGGGCCAGCGGGGCCGCAGAAGCGUGGCUCGCAGGGCCCAGCCGCAUGCACCGAGCUGAGCGCGCGCUGGCCUGUGUGGAGCCCAGGCAAGAACGGAGUAAUUGAUACAGAAGAGGCUUUGCGUUUUCAGGAAUGCACUGUCCCCUUUCCAGGAGCUCUGCAAGGGAGCAGGAAUGCCAGAAAGUAGCCUGUGCAGAGGCAGGAGAAUGGGAGUCCGCCACAGACUGUCUCUUUCCCCCCCCGGCCAGAGUCUCAUCCAGCCCUGGGGAAGGAAGACACCUGGUGGCAAUCAUGCACCCCACCACCUGUCCAGAUCUUAGCUCGUGGCGUCACCCCUGAGGCUGGAACAGUCUCUGAAGAGGGACUGCACAGUUCCACGGGGAACUGUGGAGGAAAACACAGGCCUGGCCUGCCAGCAAGGGAGCAAAGGGGCAGGGGAGUCCCAGAAAACGCUCUGGUCAGUAGACGCUUGAAGAUAAAACUCCGCCAUAGAAGGGUCCUCCAUACAAACAGGUAGAGCAAAAUGGACCACAUCUGCAAUAAAACUAGGUAGCAAGUUUUAUCCACAAGCCUCAAGAUGAAAGCUAUUGGGGACAAAUUCCCUAUAGCUAAGUCCAUGUGGCACCAGCAUCUGGAAGGAGUAAGCCGAGGGAAGCAACACAAUAUCUUAUAGAUCUGAGAGCAGAAGACUCAAAGCACUCCUGGAUAAUUACUGGACAGUAGUGGGCUUAUUUGUAAACAGCAGAUGAAAUAGGGAAAACAUUUUUCAUUUCCGUUCACAUGUGAAUGCAAAGAGUUUAAAGAAGUGUUCACUCUUGGUGUGAUAUAUUCCAUGGGUUUUGACAAAGGUAUAAUGACAUCUAUCCACCAUUAUAAUAUUGUACACAAUAGUUUCAUUGCCUUAAAGUUCCUCUGUGCUCUGCUUGUUUAUACCUCUCUUCCAGCUGCCUCUGCAACCACUAAUCUUUCUACUAUCUCUGUGGUUUUGCUUUUCCCAAUAUGUCUUAUAGUUGGAGUCACAGAGUAUGUAGCCU
Molecule: long non-coding RNA, 1500 nt
Filed under: Homo sapiens (human)
Lineage: Eukaryota; Metazoa; Chordata; Mammalia; Primates; Hominidae
Description: non-protein coding lnc-POTEF-3:1
Source: RNAcentral